This 325-nucleotide ribosomal RNA is filed under the name uncultured eukaryote. RNAcentral describes it as "partial 18S ribosomal RNA". It matches the Rfam family "Eukaryotic small subunit ribosomal RNA", at positions 1470 to 1796 of the family's 1831-position model. The record is from RNAcentral.
CCCUUAGAUGUCCUGGGCCGCACGCGCGCUACACUGAUGCAUUCAACGAGUAUUUCCUUGGCCGAGAGGCCUGGGCAAUCUUUUAAACCUGCAUCGUGAUAGGGAUAGAUUAUUGCAAUUAUUAAUCUUGAACGAGGGAUUCCUAGUAAACGCAAAUCAUCAAUUUGCAUUGAUUACGUCCCUGCCCUUUGUACACACCGCCCGUCGCACCUACCGAUUGAAUGGUCCGGUGAAAUCUCGGGAUUGUGGCCAGUUCACUUUAUUGGGAGUUGGCUGCGAGAACUUGCUUAAACCUUAUCAUUUAGAGGAAGGUGAAGUCGUAACA